CAACCCUCGAACCCCUCCGGGGGUCCGGCGUUGGGGAUCGGCCCUUUACCGGCCGGCCCCGAAAUACAGUGGCGGUCUCGCCGCAGCCUCUCCUGCGCAGUAGUUUGCACACUCGCACCGGGAGCGCGGCGCGUCCACGUCCGUAAAACACCCAACUUCUGAAA
This 164-nucleotide unclassified non-coding RNA is filed under the name Trichoderma lacuwombatense. RNAcentral's name for it is "partial internal transcribed spacer 2". The record is from RNAcentral. RNAcentral also lists the same sequence under 1 other name. Lineage: Eukaryota; Fungi; Ascomycota; Sordariomycetes; Hypocreales; Hypocreaceae.